GGCCGCUAGGGCAGAGUUGACUCCCGUGUUGUGCGCGUGUCUGGCCGAACCUCAGGGAACCGGUGCUGUCGCCUAGCACAGGGCUUCUGACAUCCUUCUGCUCCGGGGUUAUGCCACAACCGGGCAUGAGGGACUCCCUGGCUGCAUCCGCAUCCCAGCCCAAAAACAACUGGGCAUGGGGGAUUCUCUGUGUCCACACCCCAACCCACAGACUACUGGGAUGUGGAACUCCCUGCACCCACACCCCUAACCCCCCGACAACUGUGCACUUGGACUCCGUGCACCCACACCUCACAGACAACUAGGUGUGGGGGACCCCCUUUGCAUCACACUCCAACCCACAGACAAGGUACAGGGACUCCAUUACAUCCUUCAGCUAUAAAACAAAGGUUUGCUACUGUUUCUCCCAGGGAGGAGGAAAGUUGUCAAUUGCUUGGCUGGAAUCCACCUUUUGCAGACUUUUAUCGCUUGUAAUAUCUGGAAGAUCUUCAUAAUUAGUCAUUUCUAAUUAUUUUUCUAUCUUUCUUUGUUGUAUUUUUUGGGAGUUUUCUUAUUGUUUUAGAAUUUCUAAUUCUAAAUCUUUGUGUACAAUGUUGGUAUCACUCUCAAAAUAUUUGACAAUUAUUUUUUGAUCAACAACCACCAGAGGGAGCUUUUACCUUUCUUUACUUUUUCAACUUAGAUAACUAUGUUGUUCUACUGUAAUAUUUCUACCACAGAUUUUAUUAUAUUUCUAUGGUUAGAUGGUAUUGUGAAACCAUUAUAUUACCAUUUAUUUAUUUUAUAUACAUAUACGUGUGUGUGUGUGUAUAUAUAUGUAUUUGUACACAUUUUUCUUCUCAUUCCUCUUUCUACUCUAUGGUCCCUUUCAGGUAAACUCUCUGUACAGAGAAGACAGCUAGAACAUUCCCAGGUUCCACACAUUCACUUUGCAUGUUGCCUAUCUUUUAGGAUUUGUACUUAAUAGAUGUUCUGGGUGUUUUUUAUUCUGUAAGGUGGUAUGAAUGUUUUCUCAGAAUUUCAUUUUGUCACUGAUUUCAAAAUUACCCUCUUUAUGGUUUGUUUAGGCUGCUUGUCUGUUGUGUAGAAGCAAUAUUCCUUUUGUUAUUUCUAAAAGUAUAGUACUUUAUGUAAAGAAAGACUACAGAGUUUCCCCAUUUAGAUCAAUAAUUAGUCCAUGUUCUAAAUAUCAGUGCUUAGUUUCAACAAAUAAUCUGCUUUAUUUCUUCCAGGCACAAU
Long non-coding RNA from Gopherus flavomarginatus (Mexican gopher tortoise), 1239 nucleotides. RefSeq lists it as uncharacterized. NCBI's taxonomy places the organism in Eukaryota, Metazoa, Chordata, Testudines, Testudinidae. The record is from RefSeq and is a predicted model, not a curated record. The transcript is spliced from 3 exons.